Molecule: small RNA, 1403 nt
Filed under: Arabidopsis thaliana (thale cress)
Lineage: Eukaryota; Viridiplantae; Streptophyta; Magnoliopsida; Brassicales; Brassicaceae
Description: ATSL194940
Source: RNAcentral
UGACCAAUUGGCAUGAGGUUCUUUGAAAUCUCUUUCAAAUAUGCUGCGGAUUGUUGCUGCAACUAUAGAGUCAUCGUCAAACCUACAACAACAGCAACAAAACACAUAAGGAUCUCUAUGUCUUUAUACUUCUAAGAAACUACAAUGCUAAGUACAACCAACCUAAAUCCAGAGACUUCUAAGGCAGGACCAAACUUCUAAGGCAGAACCAACCUAAAUCCAUAAACUUCUAAGGCAGAACUAACCAACUUACAAGACCUAAUUCCAGAGACUAUAAGCUUAACCUUACCAGAGAGUUCCCGGAGGAUGCUUUGGGUCUAGCCUUGUCAAGCCAGCACAACCAGGACUAUCGAGGAGCUCUUCCAGUGUCAGAUUGUUGAGACGGUCAACUUGAACAUCAUAAUGAUUGACAGAAGGCUGAGUCGUUGGCGUUGGAGGCGAUGGUGGAACGGUUGAACCUGAACGUGAACCUGAACCUUGAACCCCUGAGAUAUUCCCACCACUAACAGGAGAAUUGACAUGCAACGGGUCACGCUGCUGUUGUCUAACCCGUACAAAAGUAUUAUCCGACGGCAUCUUGCACAAAAAACAAAUCAAGAGUUAGAUCUGGGAAAAAGAAGUAAGAUCGGAGAAGAAGAAUGAGUUAGAUUUGAGAGAAGAACUUAGAUCGGAGAAACAGAGGUUACCUUUGAGGCAAAACAGAUCGAGUCGGAGAAGAAGAAACGCGGCGGUGUUUGAAUACAGAUCGAAGAAGAAGAGAGGCGGCGAAGAGAGUCUGCGUCGUAAUCAGAUCGGAGAAGAAGAGAGGCGGCGAUGAGUAUAACAGAUUAGAGAAGAAGAAGAAGAGAGGCGGCGACGGAAUCGGAUCGGAGAAGAAGAGAUCCGGCGCCGAAGAGAUCAGAGAAGAAGAAGAGAAUCGAAGAAAAUUUUUAGGGUUAGGGUUUGAUGCGGCUGGUUUGAGCUCCGCUCAAACUAGGUCUUCGAGUAUAUAUAGGAAUUUAUUUCCUCGCAAAACCCUCGCAUAGUUUGCUUUGAAAUUGCGAGGAAGAUUUUUAAACCAAUUAAAACGCACCACAUAUUGCGAGGGAAUUGCGAGAACACCUAGCAAGUCCCUCGCAACUUAUGAUUUUUAAUAAUUUUGGGUUUAGGGUAAAAUUUACGACGGAAGUGCGAGUGCGUCUAGCAAUUCCCUCGCAAUCCUUCAACCAAUUAACUCCACCAUUUUGAUUUAGUGUUUGAAUCAGAUCUGAUUUAGAUUCACCUAUUUCGAAUAAGACUCCCAGCAAAUUAAAAUAUGACUAAAUAUUUUAAAUAAUUUAAGGUUUAUGGUAAAUAUUUGCGAGGGAACUGCUACGACAGACUUGCAAAUCUCUCGCAAAAACCUCGCAUUGUUGAAUCAAUUU